This 1417-nucleotide ribosomal RNA is filed under the name Streptococcus thermophilus. RNAcentral's name for it is "bacterial SSU rRNA". It matches the Rfam family "Bacterial small subunit ribosomal RNA". Lineage: Bacteria; Bacillati; Bacillota; Bacilli; Lactobacillales; Streptococcaceae. The record is from RNAcentral.
GCAAGUAGAACGCUGAAGAGAGGAGCUUGCUCUUCUUGGAUGAGUUGCGAACGGGUGAGUAACGCGUAGGUAACCUGCCUUGUAGCGGGGGAUAACUAUUGGAAACGAUAGCUAAUACCGCAUAACAAUGGAUGACACAUGUCAUUUAUUUGAAAGGGGCAAUUGCUCCACUACAAGAUGGACCUGCGUUGUAUUAGCUAGUAGGUGAGGUAAUGGCUCACCUAGGCGACGAUACAUAGCCGACCUGAGAGGGUGAUCGGCCACACUGGGACUGAGACACGGCCCAGACUCCUACGGGAGGCAGCAGUAGGGAAUCUUCGGCAAUGGGGGCAACCCUGACCGAGCAACGCCGCGUGAGUGAAGAAGGUUUUCGGAUCGUAAAGCUCUGUUGUAAGUCAAGAACGGGUGUGAGAGUGGAAAGUUCACACUGUGACGGUAGCUUACCAGAAAGGGACGGCUAACUACGUGCCAGCAGCCGCGGUAAUACGUAGGUCCCGAGCGUUGUCCGGAUUUAUUGGGCGUAAAGCGAGCGCAGGCGGUUUGAUAAGUCUGAAGUUAAAGGCUGUGGCUCAACCAUAGUUCGCUUUGGAAACUGUCAAACUUGAGUGCAGAAGGGGAGAGUGGAAUUCCAUGUGUAGCGGUGAAAUGCGUAGAUAUAUGGAGGAACACCGGUGGCGAAAGCGGCUCUCUGGUCUGUAACUGACGCUGAGGCUCGAAAGCGUGGGGAGCGAACAGGAUUAGAUACCCUGGUAGUCCACGCCGUAAACGAUGAGUGCUAGGUGUUGGAUCCUUUCCGGGAUUCAGUGCCGCAGCUAACGCAUUAAGCACUCCGCCUGGGGAGUACGACCGCAAGGUUGAAACUCAAAGGAAUUGACGGGGGCCCGCACAAGCGGUGGAGCAUGUGGUUUAAUUCGAAGCAACGCGAAGAACCUUACCAGGUCUUGACAUCCCGAUGCUAUUUCUAGAGAUAGAAAGUUACUUCGGUACAUCGGUGACAGGUGGUGCAUGGUUGUCGUCAGCUCGUGUCGUGAGAUGUUGGGUUAAGUCCCGCAACGAGCGCAACCCCUAUUGUUAGUUGCCAUCAUUCAGUUGGGCACUCUAGCGAGACUGCCGGUAAUAAACCGGAGGAAGGUGGGGAUGACGUCAAAUCAUCAUGCCCCUUAUGACCUGGGCUACACACGUGCUACAAUGGUUGGUACAACGAGUUGCGAGUCGGUGACGGCGAGCUAAUCUCUUAAAGCCAAUCUCAGUUCGGAUUGUAGGCUGCAACUCGCCUACAUGAAGUCGGAAUCGCUAGUAAUCGCGGAUCAGCACGCCGCGGUGAAUACGUUCCCGGGCCUUGUACACACCGCCCGUCACACCACGAGAGUUUUAACACCCGAAGUCGGUGAGGUAACCUUUGGAGCCAGCCGCCUAA